CCUACGGGAGGCAGCAGUGGGGGAUAUUGCACAAUGGGGGGAACCCUGAUGCAGCGACGCCGCGUGGGUGAAGGAGUAUUUCGGUAUGUAAAGCCCUAUCGGCAGGGAAGAAUUUAGACGGUACCUGACUAAGAAGCCCCGGCUAACUACGUGCCAGCAGCCGCGGUAAUACGUAGGGGGCAAGCGUUAUCCGGAUUCACUGGGUGGAAAGGGAGCGUAGACGGCCAGACAAGCCUGGAGUGAAAGCCCGGGGCCCAACCCCGGGACUGCUCUGGGAACUGUCCGGCUGGAGGGCGGGAGGGGCAGGCGGAAUUCCUGGUGUAGCGGUGAAAUGCGUAGAUAUCAGGAGGAACACCGGCGGCGAAGGCGGCCUGCUGGACCGCGACUGACGUUGAGGCUCGAAAGCGUGGGGAGCGAACAGGAUUAGAUACCCUUGUAGUC
Molecule: ribosomal RNA, 441 nt
Filed under: uncultured bacterium
Lineage: Bacteria
Description: partial 16S ribosomal RNA
Rfam family: Bacterial small subunit ribosomal RNA
Source: RNAcentral